RNAcentral lists this ribosomal RNA (491 nucleotides) under uncultured bacterium. Its description in RNAcentral is "partial 16S ribosomal RNA". It matches the Rfam family "Bacterial small subunit ribosomal RNA", at positions 29 to 506 of the family's 1533-position model. The record is from RNAcentral.
AGUGAACGCUGGCGGUAGGCCUAACACAUGCAAGUCGAACGGCAGCACAGUAAGAGCUUGCUCUUACGGGUGGCGAGUGGCGGACGGGUGAGGAAUACAUCGGAAUCUACUUUUUCGUGGGGGAUAACGUAGGGAAACUUACGCUAAUACCGCAUACGACCUACGGGUGAAAGCAGGGGAUCUUCGGACCUUGCGCGAUUGAAUGAGCCGAUGUCGGAUUAGCUAGUUGGCGGGGUAAAGGCCCACCAAGGCGACGAUCCGUAGCUGGUCUGAGAGGAUGAUCAGCCACACUGGAACUGAGACACGGGCCAGACUCCUACGGGAGGCAGCAGUGGGGAAUAUUGGACAAUGGGCGCAAGCCUGAUCCAGCCAUACCGCGUGGGUGAAGAAGGCCUUCGGGUUGAAAAGCCCUUUUGUUGGGAAAGAAAAGCAGCAGGUUAAUACCCCGCUGUUCUGACGGUACCCAAAGAAUAAGCACCGGCUAACUUCGU